Molecule: ribosomal RNA, 209 nt
Filed under: uncultured bacterium
Lineage: Bacteria
Description: partial 16S ribosomal RNA
Rfam family: Bacterial small subunit ribosomal RNA
Source: RNAcentral
GCCCUCAAGUGAGGAAUACCGGCGAGAAAUCGCCGACAAGACCGCAUAGCCCUGCCCGGUGAGAGCCUGGCAUGGAAAGCUUCGCAAGGAGCGCUUGAGGAGGGGCCUGCGCCCGAUUAGCUGGUUGGUGGGGUAAGAGCCUACCAAGGCCUCGAUCGGUAGCUGGUCUGAGAGGACGAGCAGCCACACUGGGAUUGAGAACGGCCCAG